Molecule: long non-coding RNA, 518 nt
Organism: Musa acuminata AAA Group (dessert banana)
Lineage: Eukaryota; Viridiplantae; Streptophyta; Magnoliopsida; Zingiberales; Musaceae
Exons: 2
Source: RefSeq, a predicted model, not a curated record
GUAGCCUCGCUGUGGCGGCAGCAGCUGGCGCAGGAGCGGACGAACGUUUGCGGAAAAGACGAGGUGGACGUCGGCGUGGCGAUGCAGAUUGAUCGCUCGGGUCCGGCACUGCCACAGAACCGCGGCGACCGCUUCGAAGGGACGGCACGCAGUCGAACGUGAUCGUGGGAGGUUGCCGCGGGAUCCUCGGUGGAGCGGGGAUGGCGUCUCUGAACCAGAUCGGCUCCACGGUGGGGCGAGAAAGCCCGCCGGCGAUCUCUCCCACUGCCUUCAGGAACUGGCCCGCGCCGACGCCGUCGAACACCAUGUGGCUGAACUUGACUCCCACUGCAAAUCCACCGCAGUCGAACUGCGUUACCUGCGCUCUCACAAACCACAAGCCAAAUAAAUCUUUUAUUUAUUUAUUUUAUUUUAUUUUAUUUUUAUUUGUAUUUAUUUAUUAUUAUUAAGAUAAAAUGGUGAUUGUAUGGAUGCGUACAUCGGAUUUCAAGAUAGUUAACAUCCGAUUACAUUUUUAA